CGAGGGUUCAACUGUCUCUUUUUUCCGGUCAUGAAACUGAUCUGCCCGUGCAGAAGCGGGCAUACUUACACAAGACGAGAAGACCCUAUGGAGCUUUAGACACCAACCAACCACGAAAAGCGACCCUGAUUGGAGCCCCAAACAACGUGAUUCUGGCAUAAGUGUCUUCGGUUGGGGCGACCACGGGAGAUAGCACAGCUCCCGAGUGGAUGGGGGACACCCUAAAACCCAGAGCCACAGCUCUAAGUCACAAAACAUUGACCAAUAAUGAUCCGGCUUAAUGCCGACCAACGGACCAAGUUACCCUAG
This 309-nucleotide ribosomal RNA is filed under the name Sardinops sagax (South American pilchard). RNAcentral describes it as "partial 16S ribosomal RNA". It matches the Rfam family "Bacterial large subunit ribosomal RNA", at positions 2005 to 2471 of the family's 2925-position model. The record is from RNAcentral. Lineage: Eukaryota; Metazoa; Chordata; Actinopteri; Clupeiformes; Clupeidae.